AUUUAAUCCAAAGCAUUGCCUGUAUAUGGAGGCUAUAAAGAAAAAGGGCUCUUAACCUUUCUGUUUCUCAAACUAUGUGGAAGGAGAUCCCUAAGGCUCUACGACAGGGUGAUACAGAGAACUGUAGUGUUUCUUCCUUCUUUAUUUCAGUUACCAGAGCCUCCACUGCAAACAGGCUUGAAACUGGGUUGCUGAGCUUUUCAAGGGUGCUUAGUUUCAGAGAUAAACAAGGCUGUUGAAAUUAUGCCAGAUUUUAAAGGCAAACAAAAAUGUUUUUCUUGGAGCAGUUAGGCAGAUAAAAUGUUGGUAUUUCUUAGGUUCUCAGGUAUUCCAAUGAGGUUUCUAAACACGGACUUAAAGACCAAAUCAAUAAAGUUUUACAAAAUGAACUGGAGACCAAAAAUAAAGGGCUUUGAAACAUGAAAAUUGGGAACAAUUAGGUGCUGCAGCAGGUAAAGCAGUUUUUCAAAUGUAUGUUGACAAUGACUCCUGGUAUUUCUAACAACUGAAAGCUGUUGAUACCACUGAAUUGAGUAUCCUGUGCAAAGUGGUUUUCUAUUGUUUGUCUGGUUCCAAGUGGAGAAAUGUCUGUCAUAUGCAGAGUGAAAUUUAUGAGUGUGUUUGCUUUAAAUAUGCCUUUUAUGCAGCCAGUAGCCAAGGAAAUCUGGGUGAAGGUGAAUCACCAUUUACUACAGUGCGGUCCUGGAUUGGUGAACCAGCCCCUCAAGACUGCAGAAUCCAGAGCUGGUGACCAGCAUUACCAGUGGCUCACGUGGGUCCAGAUGGUCAGUGACACAAGCUGGAUUACAGAAUUAGCAGCAGAAAGUAUUAUGUUACUAAUUUCCACAAUAACUCAACACCUAGAUUUGGGAGCAGAGGAAUUUAGGGAAUGGAUCAAAUUGGUGAUCUCUGUUUUGUAAUCUUGCAUUCUCAUGGCUUUAGGGUGGGACUGUUACUCAGAGGGCUUUAGUUGUGGUGAGACCUUUUUUUUGCUCUCCUGUCUCAUACAACCUCUUCCCUCUCACUUCUGUGCAGGAGAGAAUUCCCAUUUCACUGGACACAAUGAUAAUUUUCGUUGCUCUUGGAGGGUGGUAGAGGAAAGAAGAACUUGGAUAACUCACAGUAAAGAAACCCACAGACUGUACUUAUUUUUAAAUAAUACCUUAUGCUCUUACUCCUUGUUUUACUUGUGAUAUUUUAAACCCUCCAGCAGGUGCUGCUGCAUCCUGCAAAUGUUGUCUUCGUGGAGGGAAAAAAAAAAAGUCAUGGACUGGACUACAAUUGGACUUUGUUCUUUGUGUCAUGCAUAUUUCUGUGUUCUUUUUUUCCCCUCAAACUGUUUGCCAGGUAAGUUAUUAAGGAGAGUUUUUAUGAUCGCAGCGAGUUUAAUCCUGCAAGCACUCUGUAAGAAGGGGUUGAAGAUCAGUGGGAGCUGCUGAUCAAAGUCAUGCUGAGAGAAAGCUGAACAGACCCCCAGGCAGAAAUACAUUUGUAUUUCUACAAAAUAUGAAGAAAUCCAAGUGUUUUCUUAGAAGUGAAAAGUAGUCCUAAAAGAAGUUGAAUUUAUAAAACUUACCAGCUCUUUUAUUGCUUUUCUGAAGUUUCUGGAAGUUCAGUAAUUUAAGUUCAUGAUUUUAAAUUGGUCUUAUCAUUAGCCUUGGUCUUGAGUGCUAGAAGUUUGCAAGACAGAUUACACAGCACCCAUUUCAGGAUCUCUGAGUUAGCAUUUCCAGGAUUUAGUGAGGAAUUGUGGCUGAGUUACAUACAGCUAAUGUAAAGAGAAGGGCUUUGUCCUGUUUGGUGAUGGACCACUUGUGCCAGGCAGGAAUGUGGGGAUAGUAAGAGUUGAAAUUAGGCCUUGGCAAUGUAUCCAUGAAGUCCUUGAGUUGCAGCAGGCCAGAAAUGCCCUCAUGAGCUAAAUGAUCUCAUUGAUCUCUGAUACUGACCUGCAUCUUUGUACUGAACAAUCACAGUGAUUAAACUUGGUUGUGACCAUGAUCUUGGCACUCUUCUGCUUAUCUAGGAAUUCUAAGUUUAAGUAAGAUGAAAUAUUGCUUUGCUUUUGAUAUUUAACUUUAGUAGUACUCUAAAGUUAAUAUAAGGGUAAUGGCAGUUAACUACAGUCAUAAAUCCCAGGCAGGCUGCACCUGCUAUCCUGCACUGUGAAACAGCUUGUGUUCCCUUCUUGUUCUGCCUGGAAUGGCUUGAAUUACCAUCUUUCUCUUUCACUUCUCUUCUUUAUUUCUUUAAGAAAUCUAACCUGGCUGUGGCAGUUACCACUCAGGAAGUUACAAGGAUGGGUCAAGAGUACACCUUCAUUUUCCUUUUGAUUCAGCUUCAAAAGAUUAAAUGUAAUUCGUUUAUAAGAAUUCAUGUAAUAAUCUAUGUAAUCCAGGUGCAAUAAACAUGGAGAUAAAAAGUCUUUAGUCA
This 2430-nucleotide long non-coding RNA is filed under the name Zonotrichia albicollis (white-throated sparrow). Its description in RNAcentral is "lncRNA (ENSZALG00000016369.1)". The record is from RNAcentral. Lineage: Eukaryota; Metazoa; Chordata; Aves; Passeriformes; Passerellidae.